RNAcentral lists this ribosomal RNA (406 nucleotides) under uncultured bacterium. Its description in RNAcentral is "partial 16S ribosomal RNA". It matches the Rfam family "Bacterial small subunit ribosomal RNA", at positions 29 to 526 of the family's 1533-position model. The record is from RNAcentral.
AUUGAACGCUGGCGGCAGGCCUAACACAUGCAAGUCGAACGAGUGGCGGACGGGUGAGUAAUGUCUGGGAAACUGCCCGAUGGAGGGGGAUCACUACUGGAAACGGUAGCUAAUACCGCAUACCAUCGGAUGUGCCCAGAUGGGAUUAGCUAGUAGGUGGGGUAACGGCUCACCUAGGCGACGAUCCCUAGCUGGUCUGAGAGGAUGACCGGCAACACUGGAAUGGAGACACGGUCAGGAUGCCUACGGGAGGCAGCAGUGGGGAAUAUUGCACAAGGGGGGAAGGCCUGAUGCAGACAGGCGGGGUGUAUGAAGAGGGCCUUGGGGUUGUAAAGUACUUUCAGCGAGGAGGCGUUACUCGCAGAAGAAGCACCGGCUAACUACGUGCCAGCAGCCGCGGUAAUAC